RNAcentral lists this microRNA precursor (103 nucleotides) under Brugia malayi. RNAcentral's name for it is "microRNA bma-mir-9535 precursor". Lineage: Eukaryota; Metazoa; Nematoda; Chromadorea; Rhabditida; Onchocercidae. The record is from miRBase by way of RNAcentral.
UAACACUAAUGAAUGUCUCAUAUUAUUGUUUAUUGGUGUAAAAUUAGUAAUUGUGAAAUUUUGCCCUAACAAACAAUAAUAUGAAUUACUUUUUAUUACUCCU